This 68-nucleotide transfer RNA is filed under the name Gadopsis bispinosus. RNAcentral's name for it is "tRNA-Glu". It matches the Rfam family "tRNA". Rfam says of the family: Transfer RNA (tRNA) molecules are approximately 80 nucleotides in length. Their secondary structure includes four short double-helical elements and three loops (D, anti-codon, and T loops). Lineage: Eukaryota; Metazoa; Chordata; Actinopteri; Centrarchiformes; Percichthyidae. The record is from RNAcentral.
GUUCUUAUAGUUGAAUACAACGAUGGCUUUUCGAGCCGUAGGUCUAGGUUAGAUUCCUAGUAGGAAUU